This 77-nucleotide non-coding RNA is filed under the name Aquamicrobium sp. LC103. Its description in RNAcentral is "Mesorhizobium sp. LC103 Alpha-proteobacteria SAM riboswitch aptamer". It matches the Rfam family "Alpha-proteobacteria SAM riboswitch aptamer". Rfam says of the family: This family is a riboswitch found predominantly in alpha-proteobacteria that binds S-adenosyl methionine (SAM). This SAM riboswitch is located upstream of the metA and metC genes in Agrobacterium tumefaciens, and other methionine and SAM biosynthesis genes in other alpha-proteobacteria. The record is from Rfam by way of RNAcentral. Lineage: Bacteria; Pseudomonadati; Pseudomonadota; Alphaproteobacteria; Hyphomicrobiales; Phyllobacteriaceae. RNAcentral also lists the same sequence under 1 other name.
CGGUUAUCCCGUGGUGAUUUGCCGGUCGGCUUGCAGCCACGUUAAACAAGUCGCUAAAGGGCCGAGAUGAAACCGGC